UGAGGAGAGCAGCGUCCUCUGUAAGCCUCAACCCCACACCCCUCUCCUCCCCUCCCUAAAGCCUCUGUCACUGUCUCGCCCUGAGGAGCCCCGCACAGGAUUUCAUGGCCUCUCCGCUGAUGACUGAGCAGGGGCUUUUCUUAGUGGCCAGGAGGAUGGAGGGAUCUGUAAUUAUGCAGAAUAUGCCCAAGAAUCAAAACUGCCCUGUGUUCCCAGAGGAUGGGCCAGAGAAUCGAGAAGGUCCUGUGUUCCCAGAGGACGGGCCAGAGACUCAAAAAGUCCAGUGUCCUCUGAGAAAGGAAAUGCUGCAGAUUUCAACGAAACUGUGAGCAGAGAGGAACUACUCAACAUGAAGAAGGUGGCAAAAUCUGGCUGCUGGUGAUUUGCACUGACUGGUACAAGAAGAGAAACUGAGAAGAGGAAAUAAAGGGCUUCCCUGGCCUACCCACUCAUUCAGGGGAGGAAAGGGCUUUAUGUCCAUGGGAGCUGGUGGGAGGGGAAAUGGAUGGAGACAUGGCUCUGUGCUCUCUCACACUGAACCUGUCAGUCAGCACAGCUGAGCUACCGUGGGGUUCUGGUGAUUUGCUACCACCCUUGCAUUGUGGCUGACUCGGCCUAUUUUCUUAUCAAGGUUUCUUAUCAAGAGCUUGCAUUUGCACUGGCCUCUGAAUGAUUUUAUUGUACAUCAUCAGGACUUGCUCACAUUUCUCAUGUCUGCUGUUGCUAUGUAUGAGUUUUACUGGGGAUAAAUUGGAAUUUGUUCAAAAAUUCAUAUGAAAUCAAAAUGGCCAUGGAGUUAACAGUAGAGUUGCAAAUAUGGCAGUUGAAUGGCUGGCAACCUCCUUCAGUGAUAUACAUAGAUUCACAGAUUUUCAGUGCCAGGAGGGAUCAUUGUGUUCAUCUGGCCUAACCUCAUCCAUAAAACAAGCCAUAGCACUUCCCUAAAUUAAUUCAUGUCAAGUGCAAGAGCUGUUGUGAAUUAGAGCAGAUCUUUUUGAAAAACAUCCAAACUUGUUUUAAAAAUUGCCAGGGAUGUAAAAUCCAUCACAAUCCUUGGGAUGUUGUUUCAAUGGUUAAUUAGCCUGAUCACUCAAUGAUUGCAUUGUUCUGUUCAU
Molecule: long non-coding RNA, 1115 nt
Organism: Chelonia mydas (Green sea turtle)
Lineage: Eukaryota; Metazoa; Chordata; Testudines; Cheloniidae
Exons: 3
Source: RefSeq, a predicted model, not a curated record